UACAGAGGUCCCAAGCGUUGUUCGGAUUCAUUGGGCGUAAAGGGUGCGUAGGCGGCGCGGUAAGUCGGGUGUGAAAUCUCGGAGCUUAACUCCGAAACUGCAUUCGAUACUGCCGUGCUUGAGGACUGGAGAGGAGACUGGAAUUUACGGUGUAGCAGUGAAAUGCGUAGAUAUCGUAAGGAAGACCAGUGGCGAAGGCGAGUCUCUGGACAGCAACUGACGCUGAGGCACGAAGGCCAGGGGAGCAAACGGG
This 253-nucleotide ribosomal RNA is filed under the name uncultured bacterium. RNAcentral describes it as "partial 16S ribosomal RNA". It matches the Rfam family "Bacterial small subunit ribosomal RNA", at positions 524 to 776 of the family's 1533-position model. The record is from RNAcentral.